CACGGGGGGAGCAAGCGUUGUUCGGAAUCACUGGGCGUAAAGGGCGUGUAGGCGGUCUGGUAAGUGGGAUGUGAAAGCCCCCGGCUCACCCGGGGAUCUGCAUUCCAAACUGCCAGACUUGAGUAUGGGAGAGGACAGGGGAAUUCCUGGUGUAGCGGUGAAAUGCGUAGAUAUCAGGAGGAACACCGGUGGCGAAGGCGCCUGUCUGGCCCAAUACUGACGCUGAGGCGCGAAAGCUAGGGGAGCGAACAGG
RNAcentral lists this ribosomal RNA (253 nucleotides) under uncultured bacterium. RNAcentral's name for it is "partial 16S ribosomal RNA". It matches the Rfam family "Bacterial small subunit ribosomal RNA", at positions 524 to 776 of the family's 1533-position model. The record is from RNAcentral.